Molecule: long non-coding RNA, 293 nt
Filed under: Mytilus galloprovincialis (Mediterranean mussel)
Lineage: Eukaryota; Metazoa; Mollusca; Bivalvia; Mytilida; Mytilidae
Source: RNAcentral
AUGUGGGGAAAGCAACAAAUGCGGCAAAAUAUGACAUAUAGAAAACAAAAUGGUUAUGGAGUAAACAUUCGUGUGACAACAACUCAGACGAUACAUAAAAAUCAGAAUAAUGAAGAAAAAGUUGGUUUCCCUAUAUACGUGUAACUGCAGUGUUGGUGUACGAGGCGCGUUUAUGAUUUUCAUUACGUUACUUGAUAUGAAAAAUUGACAAAAAAUAAUGUUUUACUUGUAAAAGUAAAACCUCAGCCUGUAAUAGCUGCUCUUCUUGUUCCAUUUGAAUUAAUAGAAACAAC